Molecule: long non-coding RNA, 548 nt
Organism: Parus major (Great Tit)
Lineage: Eukaryota; Metazoa; Chordata; Aves; Passeriformes; Paridae
Exons: 3
Source: RefSeq, a predicted model, not a curated record
UUAUACUUUGUCUUUAGUUUCUACUCUUUCUGUUUUUUCUCACAUGGUAUUUUUGUUCUUCUUUUUCAGAAACUUGUGCUCUGUUCCCACGCUCCACGUCUAUAUUAAUGUCUCUCUUACUGAGCAGAGCUGAGCAGUCAAGAUGAAGCUAAGAUCAAGAGCUAACAUUGUCCAAAUGGAUAUCAGAUGCCAACUGUACUUCUUUGAGUCACAGAGAACCAUCUGGUCAUCUGGGUUUGAUGUCAUGAUGUGCUGUGAUAUUAUUAGACUGCUUAGCUUGAUGCAUGAGAAGGAUACAGAUUUAAGCAACAGGCAAAGGAGAAUUAUGUAUUUGAAGAAUAACAUGUUUUUAAGCUGCAAGAAGCAAAUCACCUAGAAUGUGUAUACCUCCAAGGAAAAUUCUGCUACACAAGAUAGUCACUGCAGAUUACUGAUGCUGUGCUAUUUCCAGCUGUUCAUUUUCCAAAGGUAAGUGAAAAAAAUAUAGUUUAAGAUUGUGGCAAGCAGUGAUUUGAAGCUAAUUUUGUACUUUCAUAUCCUUUUCCUCU